GAUGAACGCUGGCGGCGUGCCUAAUACAUGCAAGUCGAGCGAACGGACGAGAAGCUUGCUUCCCUGAUGUUAGCGGCGGACGGGUGAGUAACACGUGGAUAACCUACCUAUACGAAUGGGAUAACUUCGGGAAACCGGAGCUAAUACCGGAUAAUAUUUUGAACCGCAUUGUUCAAAAGUUAAAGACGCUCUUGCUGUCACUAAUAGAUGGCUCCGCGCUGCAUGAGCUAGUGGUUAAGGUAACGGCUUACCAAGGCAACGAUGCAUAGCCGCCCCGAGAGGGAGAUCGGCCACACGGGAACUGAGAAACGGCCGCGACUCCUACGGGAGGCAGCAGUCGGGACUCUUACGCAAUGGGCGAAAGCGUGAUAGAGCACAACCGCGGGAGUGAUGAAGGUCUUCGGAUCGGAAAACUCUGUAGGUAGGAAAGAACAAAAGUGUAUGUACCUGGGCUGAUAUUGACGGUACCGAAAGAGUAAGCCCCGGCUAACUACGUG
Molecule: ribosomal RNA, 497 nt
Filed under: uncultured bacterium
Lineage: Bacteria
Description: partial 16S ribosomal RNA
Rfam family: Bacterial small subunit ribosomal RNA
Source: RNAcentral